GACGAACGCUGGCGGCGUGCCUAAUACAUGCAAGUUGAGCGAUGAAGAUUUGUGCUUGCACCAAUUUGAAGAGCAGCGAACGGGUGAGUAACGCGUGGGGAAUCUGCCUUUGAGCGGGGGACAACAUUUGGAAACGAAUGCUAAUACCGCAUAACAACUUUAAACAUAAGUUUUAAGUUUGAAAGAUGCAAUUGCAUCACUCAAAGAUGAUCCCGCGUUGUAUUAGCUAGUUGGUGAGGUAAAGGCUCACCAAGGCGAUGAUACAUAGCCGACCUGAGAGGGUGAUCGGCCGCAUUGGGAGUGAGACGCGGCCCAAACGCCUGCGGGAGGCAGCAGUAGGGAAUCUUCGGCAAUAGACGAAAGUCUGACCGAGCAAGGCCGAGCGAGUGAAGAAGGUUUUCGGAUCGUAAAACUCUGUUGGUAGAGAAGAACGUUGGUGAGAGUGGAAAGCUCAUCAAGUGACGGUAACUACCCAGAAAGGGACGGCUAACUACGUG
This 497-nucleotide ribosomal RNA is filed under the name uncultured bacterium. RNAcentral's name for it is "partial 16S ribosomal RNA". It matches the Rfam family "Bacterial small subunit ribosomal RNA", at positions 28 to 507 of the family's 1533-position model. The record is from RNAcentral.